Camellia sinensis is the source of this 7145-nucleotide non-coding RNA. Lineage: Eukaryota; Viridiplantae; Streptophyta; Magnoliopsida; Ericales; Theaceae. The record is from RefSeq and is a predicted model, not a curated record.
GUAAAUCGUAAAUGAAGAAGUGUGCUUCUCAGGUGUAGUUUGGAACCCUAACCCUUGAUUUCUGCUUCGUCGUCCCGGAGUCUAGCAUUGCCAUUCGGCUUCCUAUUUCUUCCUCCGCAGAUUUUCCGCAGAAGUAUCGUAUACACCCUGGCAGGUCGUGUGUAUGUCUUAUACAUUCAAUGUGUUUUGCUUCCUUGGAGGAGACGUUGAAGGGGAUUUGUGCUUGGUCUUAUACAAUCCAUCCAUGCACGGAGACCAUAUUUCAUGUUUGUUGGUAUUCUUGCAAAAUCGUUAGUGUUGUCUCCAUUUCCAUGUUUUCAUUUGUUUCCUUUCUGGUCUUCUCUUCCUUAUAGUUUAGAAUGUUCUUCUUCCCCUCUCUUGGUGUAGUAGUUUCGACAGUUGUAAGUUUAUUUAUGCCUUUUGCAAUGAAAUGGUUUUAACAUCAAAAUAAGGAUGUAAUUCAAAAUUUUGGCAAGGUGAUGAGAAGUUGCAUUUGCAAAGGCUGUGACCAAUAAAGAACCUACAUUAUCUUUACUCUUGGUGGGUGCCAAAGUAUUGAUGAGUGCAUGAAAUAUAUUGAGAAACAUGUCUGGACAAUAAUCACAAAGAACAAAUAAUGUCUUUAAUGAACCUAAGCAUGUUGAAGACUUAUAAUAGGGUUUAGGAUGCUUUGUAAUUCUCAAUCCUGAGGAGUUUACCUUUGAUAGUCUAUUGGUCUAGUAAUACUGUCUCCUUGGGGAGAGUAUGCCGAUGGUUUUAUUUAUUUGUGCAUGGAUGCCUUUUUUUCAUGCUUGAUUCCUUUUUGAAGUUAUUAGGGUUGUCUAAAUUUGUUUUCUUUUGUUCGUUUUUUUGGUCAAGAAGAUCAUGUCAUUUCCAGCUAUUGUAAUUUUAAUUGUUCUAAAUUGAAGCAUGUUACGAUGAUAUGGUUUAGCACAUGUCCAUUGCUUUUUGUAUUUCAGAUAUCUUCAAGUUUAACUUUUGUUCAAAAUUUUGGUUUACUGUCAACUAAGUGAAGUAGUGGUAGUGAGCACAUGGAUUUCUCUCAGAAAAUUAUCCUCGCUCAUGAAAGGAAAUAAUAUUAACUAUUCAAUAAGUGAAUUGUUGUCUUAAAUAAGUUAAACAUGACUAAAGGCUGUUACAUGGUUGAGUGUGACUUCAAUUUUGGUUAUUUUGUAAUUGGCCUUGAACAUUUGCAUUGGCAAUUAUUGGUUCUUUGUGAUCUUGAGUAGUUGGUUUUUCGUUGCUUGUCAAACUAUUAAUGAAUUCUAUUAAUGAAUUCUUUAAUGUUUUUUUUUUCCAGACCUUUGAUUUCUAUUAAUGAAUGUCAAGGUUUAGUAAAAAAAAAGUCAUAUAUUUGUUUAUCUAAUUGUUCAAUAUUUUAGCAACCAUUCAUCUCUAAUCACAAAGUAAUUCUCCAUCCUUUUUCUUCUCUUAUUGUACUAUAAAAUUCAUUAUUAUUGAUAUGAAAUUUGGUUUUGAUACUUUCAUACCACCACGAUUCACAACUUUUUUGUUUCUUGCAAGUAUCGAUAUAUUCCCUUUUGAAGAGUCUCACAAUAAAACUGUAGAAAUGACGUCAUUUCAACGUAAGAUCUGCUAGUAUAUGUUCAUCGUGAAUAUUGUUUAAAUUUCUAUUCUCGUUUUUGAGAUAUGACACUUUUAGUAUCCAUAUCCUGCAUACCUGAGGCAGCAAAUCAUUGAUAGACUUUCCUUUUUCCUUUUUAUCUUUUUUAUGUUUUCUACCCUAAGAAUCUCAGUCACAUACUUCAUUUGUACAUUUGACAAAGCAACAAAAUCUUCUCGUCAGUGCUUUUAUUUCCCUACUCAUGAUAGCUGGAGCAACUGAAUUUUCAAGCUCUUUGGGUGUUCAAAGCUCCUUUGUGCUCUCUUGGUGACAAAUUGCUCUACCUUGUUUGUUUCCCCCUAUUUUUUGGUUGUAAGGAAAAAGGAAACUUGAGUCCCUAACAUCUAGGUUGACAAACCAUCGGAUUCCACUUGACCUAUUAGGGCAGUGGUCUACUGUGAUCUAUUUGAAUCCCAAUCUAUGUACUUUUUCUCUCUCUUUUGCGACCUCUCUUUCCUUUCUAUUUUGUUUUUCUCUCAAGAAUAUGGUUCUAUUUUAAGAUUUCAGAUUGUUGGUUACAAAUUUAAAAUUGAUUUUGUUCGCUUCCUUUCAGUCUUUAUUCUUUGUGACAUGUCAUAUUUCAAACCAACCAAGUCAAUUGGUCUGUUUAUUUCUAGGUGGUUGUCAACGAUGACAUUAUUAAAAUUAAUGUGUUUAUACUUAUAAUACCUGAGGUUGAUUGUCAACUGUUCUCUACAUUUUUUUGCUCUGCUGUUACGUCGAAGAAUUGUGAGCCUGUUCAUAUACACAAAAUGGAGCAGAAAGUCAUAUAAAAUCUAAUUCCUCUUUUGCAUGUUUUGAUUGUAUGGUUUAUACUAGUGUCUAGUAAAUCAUAAAAUAUGAGUAGAAUUGUAUUAACAUGAAUAGUAAUUGUUGUACUACCAUUGUGAACCUAAAAUGCAAUUUCAACAACAUUUUGAGCUUGUAUUUUUUGUUGCGUUAAAUUUGCAAUUGGAGUCCUUUUUUUAGGGUCACUUUUGGUACCGUCCAAACUUAGUAAGUUUAUGUUUGAGAGGUCAUCAUUUUUUAGAUUUUAAACUAAUAGCUCGUCCCAAUGUUUGAAACCAUGCCUAAACAAGUAGAUAGUUAACUACAUGUCUAGAAUAGUAUACUCAAACAACAAUCAUAUGACAGUGAAAAUAAAGUAUAAAGUUCUUGUUAAGGAAAGAAAGUCAAUCUAUGAUCAUAACAAAGACAUUAACUAUGCAGGCAUAAAAUUAUAUAUAUAUGAAGAAAGAAAGACAUAAAAUGAAAGAAGGAAAGAAGAAAAAUUGAGAAAUAAAAUAAGAGAAUUAUAUAUAGAAUGACAAUAUGCUAUUUCACAUCCCUAACCAAUGACUAAGCCCCCAAGGCCAUGUAGCAAAAUGUCGAUGUAAACCUAGUAGUCAUUCAUUAGUUGCACAAGGUCACCUAAUAGGAGUUUAGAAAGUCGUGGUUGUAGGAAAUUUUAAUUUUUAGGAAUUAAUUUUUUUGUUUCUCGUUUUUAAUGGUAGUUAGGUUUCCUUUCUUGGGUUGUAAUCUAUGGAGCACAGACAAUGCAAAAUAGGCGCCGUAGUGGUGUCGGACACGGGGACACGCCAAAUGGUUUGUCCCUUUAAUUUUAUUAUUUUUUUUUUGGAGGGGACAUGGAAGGGACACGCCGGGGACACAGCAGGGACAUGGGGACAAAGUUGGCACACACCAAAUGGUAUGUCCCUUUAAUUUUAUUUUCCAUUUUUUUUGUUGGGGACACUCCGGGGACACUUCGGUAACACGCAUGUUCAAAUAUGGAUAAUCUAUUAAUUUGUUUAAAUAUAGUGGCUUAUAUAUAUAUAUAUUAUAUAUAUUGAAUUAAUGUUAGUUUUUAUUAGUUUUGAUUGUUUGGUAAUAUAAUAUUAAUCUACAUAGCAAAUAUAUAUAAAAAUAAAUUAAAAAAAAUUGCCAUAUCCCUUGCUGUGUCCGUGUCUCCGUUUUUUUGAAAUCACCAUGUCCCGUGGUUGUGUCCGUGUUGCAUAGGUUGCAAUCAAAGUUAUGUAUUUAUUUAAAAAACACAUCUUCUGCUGGAUUUUGAGUCUUUUAUGAUUUGUAUAUUGGAUGGGGCACUUUUUAGGAAGUGUUUUUAUUUUUUUUUGGGAUGUCUUUAGAGAUUUCUAAUGUCUAUAGAAAGGGCCUCUUGUUGUAACAUGAUUUUGGAGUUGUAAUGAAAGUUUUUCCUUGUUAAAGAAUGAAUGUGGAAUUUUUCUACUGACUUGAGUGUUUGAACUCAAGCAGCCCCUAGUAAGGUAUUUUUCUCUUUCAUUUUCCUAUUUGCUGAAUUUCUGUUCCUUCAAAUCUGUCAAACAGACUUUAAUCAUCACAAUCCAAACUAAUAUCAUGGAAUUCAUUACUUUACAGACGGUAGCCCUAUUUUCCUCUUUUCAAUAUAUACUAACCUGUCCUUGUGUCACUCAUUAAAGGAAGAGAAGGCAUCCAACUUUGAUGGUGGUAGUGCUGUUGGAUGGACUGCCAGCGUUAAGUGGCAUAGCAGCCAAAACAGUGUUCUUAGGCUACCAAAGGCAAAGGAAAAAGAGGAUUGAGAACCAUAACCUGAGGGGAGCAUCCGUGGGCUCUCUUUUAGACUUUUUCUUGCAUUUUCUUCAGUUUGAUCAUCAAUCCAGUGGUAAAUCUCUCUCUUUAUGCAGUGUUUUUACUUAAUUCUACUAUGUCAUAUGUUUUUUUUAUAAUGGUUAACUAAAGCACAUGCAUUUUCCAUGCCUUUAGAGUAGUUUUUAGGUUGUUUUUGCAUUAUCCUGUACCUUGCAUGAUUAUUUAGGAUUCAUAACAUAUAUAUCAUACAUAAGGGCCUGGAUAGUUGAUCAUCCUUACAUGUUUGUCACUGUAUUUAUGCUGUCUUAGUUGUUUUAUAUGAAUAAAAGAAGUUUUUGAUGCAUAUAUGCCAUGUUUAGAUGAUUACCGGACCUUUAGGUUCACAUUAUGAAUUGUUGAAUUAGUUUUGUAUUUAGGAUCGUAUGUACAUGAUAAUACUAAUCAUGUUUUCAUGGAUUUAGUGCGGAGGAGUUAUGUAAGUCAUUCUCUCUUCUUUUGCAUCCAUUGUUUGUGGUUGCAUUGCCUUUCCUUUAAAAGCAUGCUUAUGUGCUAUUUGUGAUAUAUUUAUGUUGUUUGCAUGAUUUAGAGUAUAUUUUCUUCCACACCCCUUUGAAAAAUACUUAUUUUCAGAAACUUUUCAUUCCUUUGUAUAGCCUUCUAAAUAUGAUUUUUGGAAAGAAAAGAUGCGAAAGUAUGGAACAUUCCAAAAUAGAUGAUAUACCUCUUUAUUGUGACACAUAGAUGAUAGGCUAGUUUAAGGGAUUUAGGUGAAAUAAAUUGAGUAAGUGGAAUUAAAUAAGGAAAUAAAUAUCGUACCUAAACUCCCGAACCAAGAUUUUUUUGUAGCGAUGGACCAAUGGCUUAAAUUAACAUGGAGUUAAGAUUUUUUAGUUUCCCCAUAUAAAUUAGGUCGCACCAAAUCUAGUGAAUUGGUUUGAUUUGGCAAAAUGUGGGUUGUUCGACUUUGGUUAUUUGGAUUUCCAUAGUCCCUCGAUUUGUCCUUCAAUAAAUAAAAUGGAAUCCAGUAACUUGUGGGAAAAAUGAUUUAUUGCCAAAUUCAGACCUCGAUGAUUUACAGUUCAAAAAAGGAAAGUCACAGUUGCGCUUGUGCUCAUGUGAUGAAUGUAAACUUGAAGUUGAGUGGAACUGGAGACAGAGGAAGUGCAGCUUAACAUGAGUGUGGUGGUAGUGGCAACAGUUGCCUUUGUGGUAGUGGUGGUGGUCGUGUUGAUGAGUUUCUCUUCUAAUAGAACCUACAAUUGCAUAGCCAACCCAAUCCUUGGGAGCAUGUGUUGAUUCUAUGAUAGACUAGGCAGCCCAACAAUUUUUAGCAGCUACUUUUCUGAUCUCAAGUUGCUCUUAGAUAAUUCUCGAACAACUUGUAUACACUAUUUUAAUUUCAUUCUCCUUCGUGGUGUAUAUUACCUAGUUAAUUAUUCCAUUUGCUUCCAGAAGUUCUAGGACUCAACUCAACCAAUGUGUAGUAGAAAUGCUGACUAAUUUAUGUCUAUCAACGUGGAUUUCCAUUAUUUUGGUAAAACUGGUUUCUAUCAGUGAAGAUCUCAUUUCAUAUGUUGAAUUUGCUUUAUAGUAGAAUUUGGUUAUGAGUCAUAUUGGAAGAGACGGCUUGUAUUGAUUAGCAAUCAUGUUUGCUAGUAAUAGAUUUAUGUCUAUUAUUAGUUCUUCAAGAAAUUACUACUCACCCAAAAGAAAAAAAGAAAAAAGAAAAAAAAAAGAAACGAAAUUGGUUUCUAGUCAAAUAUGAAGCAAUCAGAAAUUACCUUAGACCUAACCCAUGUUUGAAACAGAAUGCAAUAAGAGUUGAUUGGAUUAAAUUAUGGCUUCAUCCAAACGCUUCCUUAAUUAGAGUGUGGUUGUGACUUGGUGUGAUGGCAUGUUGGCAAGUACUACCCAUCCCAAGCCUUGUGUCACGGGUUUGGGUUGCAACCUUGGCUUCACAUGAAUCAACCUCUCUACAAAGAAGUUGGUGUAAGAUUGCCUCCUAUUACCUAUUUCAGACAUUACUGCAAGCGGGAGCUUGUGCAUUGAUUCAGUAGCCCUGUCACAUGCAGCCCAAAGUGACUAGGUAAUGCAAAGACUGCCUGUGUACUUUUUUUUUUUUUUUGUUCAUUUUUUUUUAGGAAUGAUUACAAAAAAAUACAAAAAAUCUAGGAUUUGAGCCUUUUAAGAAAAUAAAUCCUGGGUUUCCAAUUUUGUCAAUUUAAACCCUAAACUUUUUAUUUGUUUUCAAUUUAAACCAUUUGCUUAAUUACGUAAAGUAAAAUCGAUCGAAAAAUGUGUAUUUUAGUCAUUAAAUUCAAUAAAAAAAAUAUACAUAAAAUGUCUUAAAUACCUUUUUUUUAAAUAUUGAAUUUAAUGACUAAAAUACACAUUUUUUAUCGAUUUACUUUACGUAAAUAAGCAAAUGGUUUAGAUUGAAAACAAAUCAAAGGUUUAGAUUGAAAACAAAUCAAAAGUUUAGGGUUUAAAUUGACAAAAUCAAAAAGUUAGGAUUUAUUUUGUUAAAAUGGUCAAACUUUGGGUUUUUUUUGUAAUCCCCUCCCCCUCCCCCUCCCUCUCCCUAUGAGUAUCACUGUGUACUUUUAAAUUAUUUUAAAUUAAAAAAAAAGGUAGAAAUAGAUGUACCUGUGCAUUUUUGGAACAUUUUAAAAUUAAAAAUGGGGAUAAAUUAAAAUUUAAAGACAUAUAUAUAUAUAUAUAUAUGCAAUUAUCUGUGCACAAUUUGUGCAUUAUUUGUGCACUACUGUUCAUUAUCUCUACACUUUUUACAGCUAAAAAUGCGGCAUAAAAAUAUAUUUGUCUACCUUAUUAAUGCUUUGCAAUCACUCAAUUUAGUCAAUGACUUUGAUUGUAUCGAAAUUUCUCAAUUGUAUAAGGGCUUGUUGCUCUGCUCAUCCCUCUUGAUUCACUUUGGAUUAUAACAACGGUUGUUACC